This 27-nucleotide non-coding RNA is filed under the name Mus musculus (house mouse). The record is from RNAcentral. Lineage: Eukaryota; Metazoa; Chordata; Mammalia; Rodentia; Muridae.
UUUGAUGAUGUGCCAUUGUACUGGGAU